RNAcentral lists this ribosomal RNA (245 nucleotides) under uncultured Coriobacteriaceae bacterium. RNAcentral describes it as "partial 16S ribosomal RNA". It matches the Rfam family "Bacterial small subunit ribosomal RNA", at positions 524 to 769 of the family's 1533-position model. The record is from RNAcentral. Lineage: Bacteria; Bacillati; Actinomycetota; Coriobacteriia; Coriobacteriales; Coriobacteriaceae.
CACGUAGGGGGCGAGCGUUAUCCGGAUUCAUUGGGCGUAAAGCGCGCGCAGGCGGCCGCCUAAGCGGGACCUCUAAUCUGGGGGCUCAACCCUCAGCCGGGUCCCGGACUGGGCGGCUCGGGUGCGGUAGGGGGAGGCGGAAUUCCCGGUGUAGCGGUGGAAUGCGCAGAUAUCGGGAAGAACACCGACGGCGAAGGCAGCCUCCUGGGCCGUCACCGACGCUGAGGCGCGAAAGCCGGGGGAGC